This 445-nucleotide ribosomal RNA is filed under the name uncultured bacterium. RNAcentral's name for it is "bacterial SSU rRNA". It matches the Rfam family "Bacterial small subunit ribosomal RNA", at positions 354 to 796 of the family's 1533-position model. The record is from RNAcentral.
GUGAGGAAUAUUGGUCAAUGGGCGAGAGCCUGAACCAGCCAUGCCGCGUGCAGGAAGACGGCCCUAUGGGUUGUAAACUGCUUUUGUUUGGGAAGAAAAGGCUCUACGUGUAGGGCACUGACGGUACCAGAUGAAUAAGCAUCGGCUAACUCCGUGCCAGCAGCCGCGGUAAUACGGAGGAUGCGAGCGUUAUCCGGAUUUAUUAGGUUUAAAGGGUGUGUAGGCGGAAGACUAAGUCAGUGGUGAAAUCUCUCGGCUUAACCGGGAAACUGCCAUAGAUACUGGUUUUCUUGAGUACAGUUGAAGUAGGCGGAAUGUGUAAUGUAGCGGUGAAAUGCUUAGAUAUUACACAGAACACCGAUUGCGAAGGCAGCUUGCUAAGCUGUUACUGACGCUGAUGCACGAAAGCGUGGGGAGCGAACAGGAUUAGAAACCCUAGUAGUCC